GGAAAACAAAACAAAAACGGUCAGUGAAGGUCUUAAGGGCCUCCCGGCGCAAAAAUUCCCAAUAUCAUGUGCAGGGACAACUCAUAAAAACACAGCUCCGAUCUCACGCGAAAGAUGAGUCCUAAGCUACCAAUGAAAAACCAGAUUUCGACCUCCCGAAGGAGCUCGGGGCACAAUAGCCAAGAGCGCCACAGCCCCAUGCCGACCUCAAAAAAUGAGCUCGGUACUACAUCCACCUCGCG
RNAcentral lists this long non-coding RNA (242 nucleotides) under Manihot esculenta (cassava). RNAcentral's name for it is "long non-coding RNA (MESC_LNC011695)". The record is from RNAcentral. Lineage: Eukaryota; Viridiplantae; Streptophyta; Magnoliopsida; Malpighiales; Euphorbiaceae.